Molecule: ribosomal RNA, 274 nt
Filed under: uncultured bacterium
Lineage: Bacteria
Description: partial 16S ribosomal RNA
Rfam family: Bacterial small subunit ribosomal RNA
Source: RNAcentral
CUACGAAGGUCCCAAGCGUUAUUCGGAAUCACUGGGCGUAAAGAGUACGUAGGCGGUUUGGUAAGUCAGGUGUGAAAUCCCGAAGCUCAACUUCGGAACUGCAUCCGAUACUGCCAGACUAGAGUAAUGGAGAGGCAGGUGGAAUUCUCGGUGUAGCAGUGAAAUGCGUGGAUAUCGAGAGGAAGACCAAUGGCGAAGGCAGCCUGCUGGACAUUUACUGACGCUGAGGUACGAAGGCUAGGGGAGCGAAAGGGAUUAGAAACCCGAGUAGUCC